This 31078-nucleotide long non-coding RNA is filed under the name Vigna radiata. RNAcentral describes it as "long non-coding RNA (VRAD_LNC000002)". Lineage: Eukaryota; Viridiplantae; Streptophyta; Magnoliopsida; Fabales; Fabaceae. The record is from RNAcentral.
GCAUAAGUAGUGUUAAAAACUAAUCUUAAAAACUAAGUAGUGUUAAAAACUAAUCUUAAAAAAGAGAACUAGAACAAUAUCAGGUUUCCAAAUUACGAGUUAACUGCUGUAACACCAUGCGAGUCCCAUCCUAACUUAGUAGGAUUGUCAACCUGAAUUUUGAAAGUUCAGGGGAAAUAACAUAGACAUCAAAAUUUAAUAUCUCUUUAUAAUUUAUUAGUAAGAACAAAACUUUCCUAACUUAGGUAUAUCCAUCCCCAGAACCACUAACAAUGUUUGACGCAUCUGGAAUAAUUGCGGCCUGAAAUUGCACACAUGGGACAGUUAAGAGUUAGGACAAAAAUUACAUCAGACAGUUAGGAGUUAGGACACAAACUAAAUGCAAAAGAUUUGGACAGAUCUAAUUCUCACAUUUAUUAAAACUGAAUCAAUUUUACACCCAGAAAAAUAUUUUAAUGACCCUUUUUCAAGUUGUAGGGUGUUGUGCAGAUAAAUACUGCAAAAAAAAAUGGUAGAUUUUAUAUUUUGACAUAUAUUCUUAAGGAAAGAAACAUACACACUAUCAAAGCAAAGGAUGAUACCGGUUAUACUGGAGGAGGUGGAAAGAAAAGAUAUGCUCUCAUCUUGAGACAAACUAGUUAUUGGGUCCAACUUUCUCAAGUUCAAAUUUCUCUGAUCACAACGAAGAAAAUUGCCAUGAGACUCUGGACAAUAUGAUAGAUUUCUGAUAAAGAAACCUAAUCAAGAACGCUCCAAUCCUCACGAAACAGGAAAGCAAUGAAAGAAAAGGAUCUGAAUUCGUAUUAUUCACCAAAGAAUAGUCUGUAUAACACAUAUUGAAAGGCCUUAACCCCUUUCCACAUGACUAUGCCUGUUGACCAAAACAACUAUCAAAAUCCCCCCUCUAACAAACUACCUCCCCUAUUUAUACAUACCCAUUCCUGCCUAUACUAAACUGUAAUAGACAAUUAGUCUGUUAUGGCUAAGUAACUAUCUUCCUUCUCUCGUAAACUUUCCAUAUCUUUUCAUUUCCAUCACAAUAUCAUUUAAGUUUUCCAAUAUAGAUAUUGUUCUAAUGAUAUGAAAGGCAUAAUACACCAAACAUAUUCUACCACAUUUACAUUUUAACUUUAAGGGUGUUAUGGUGAUUAUUCUAAGUUUAGGCUAUAAUCUUUUACUACAUCCCAAAUACGAAAAGAAUCAUCUACAGAACCAGAGACAAAACGGUUUGAAAGAAAAUAAUAUUAACAGCUAACAAAUAUAUAUAUGCUUGGAUGGGGAGAGAUAGAAGACACACAAUCAGUGUGCCCGACGAACCCUUUAAAACAGAUUUGUUGUUCAACAUUCAUUACUUGUAUGUGUAAACGUACAAAAAACUACAAAUUAAAUAUUAUAUCCUUUACACAAUGACAAAAAUUUAUUCAAUUCUAACUCCAUGUCAAGUGUCUUACUAUUCGAUCCCAAGAACCAGUGACAAUUUGUCUAUCAUCAUUGAUCCAACAAAUAUAAAAAAUAUUUUCCUUAUGCGGAACCAAUUCGCAUAUCUUCUCUUUUACUAAACUAAAAGAGAAAAAAUUUUACCGGACUACAAAACUCUGUCAGCUUCUAUAUUUUUUCAUCAUAUAAUUUAAAUCAAAUAAAGAAGAAAUAAGAAAAAAUACUCUUAUUUUCUCCAGAGUUUGAGGUAUUAGGACAAUAAAUAUUGAACAAAGCUAACAUGACCUUUUAUUUUAGACACAGCAAGGAUGUGUGCAAUUUUCGUCUGAGACAAAAUAAAUAAGGAGCUCAAUAUUGCAGACAAAUAUAAAGUGAAAGUGGAAGGCGAGAGUACCUUGUCAAAGGAGAUAAAGCUAGGACCGAAUAAUGUGUUGUUGUGCACUAGUUCGACGCUUUCCUUAAAUUAGAGAUGAAUCCGUCCAUACACGGUGGUUUUCGAAAUGCGGAUAGAGAAAGAGAGCGAAAAAAUGAUGUGAGAGUUUUUCAGUGAAAAUUGAGUUCGAGAGCGAACAACUUCAGAAGAGUUCUCUGCAGGCGAUGUAAGUGUAGAAAGACUCAAAGCUUCGAGCGAGCACGAAUCGUUGAUAAAGUUGGGUUGACGCCAUGAAUGUGUAACAGAAUGACAGGGAACAUCGAACUUCAAUUCAUUUUCGAAAAUUUAAAUAAAAUAACGAAUGAUAGGGAACAACCCAACAUUUAAAUUUCCGAAAACGAAUUGAAGUUCGUUGUUCCCUAUCAUUCUGUUACACAUUCAUGGCGCCAACCAAAGUCUACCAAGGAUUCGGCUAGCUCGAAGCCGAGUCUUUCUACACUCACAUCGCCUGCAGAGAACUCUUCCGAGGUUGUUCACUCUCGAACUCAAUUUUCAUUGAAAACUCUCACGUCGUUUUUUCGCUCUCUUUCUCUGUCAGCAUUUCGAAAACCACCGUGUACGGACGAAUUCGUCUACGAAUUUAAGGAAAUCAGAAGCGUCGAACUAGUGCACAACAACAAUACAUUAUCCACUCCUAGCUCUAUCUCCUUCGGCAAGGUAUUCUCGCCUUCCACUCUCACUCUAUAUUUGUCUUUAAUUUUCUACAAUAUUGACUCUUUAUUUAUUGUCUCAAAUGAAAUUUGCACACAUCCUUAUUGUGUCUAAAAUAGAAGGUCAUGUUAGCUUGUUCAAUACUUACCGUCCUAAUACCUCAAACUCUAGAGAAAAUACGAGUAUUUUUUUUUCUUUAUUUGUUUUAAAUUAUAUGAUGAAAAAAAUAUAGAAGCUGACAAAGUUUUGUGGUCUUGUAAAAUAUAGAAGCUGACAGAGUUUUAAUUCAGUGAAAGAGAAGAUAUGCGAAUUAGUUCCGCAUAAGUAAAAGAUUUUUUAUAUUUGUUGGAUCAAUGAUGAUAGACAAAUUGUCACUGGUUACUGGAAUCGAAUAGUAAGACAUCUGGCAUGAAGUUAGAAUUGAAUAAAUUUGUCAUUGUGUAAAGGAUAUAAUAUUUAAUUUGUAGUUUUUGUAUGUUUACAGAUACAAGUAAUGGAUGUUGAACAACAAACCUGUCUUAAGAGUUCGUCGGGCAUACUGAUUAUAUGUCUUCUAUCUCUCUCCAUCCAGGCAAUGUUCACUGCGUAUGCUUGAACUACGGAUUUUUUUUAUAUAUUUGUUAGCUGUUAAAUAUUAUUUUCUUUUUAAACUUUCAAACUGUUUUGUCUAUGGUUCUAUAGACGGAUCUUUCCGUAUUUGGGAUUUGACAUCCUCUACCACUAUUAACAAUAGUAGGGGAGACGUUGGCUUAAAGUAAGUGACUCUUUUCUUUUUAAUUUGAAAAACUAAUGAAAUUAUUGGUUUCUUGAUCGUUUAGUUAUUAGUCCUUAAUGAACUUUAUAUUUUAUUUAAAAUUAAUUUGUUAUCAUUUUAUUGUUAGUGCAACGUCUAUUGUAAAAGAUGCACAUCUUCCACUACCGAGAAGGGUUAGUUUAUGAGGGAUCUAAGUUCCUUUGUUAGAACAAGCGGAGGCCAGUUUCGUGUAUUAUUUGGCUCAAGGACGAGAAUUCCAUAGUAACUUUUGCCAAAGUGAAUAGGUUAGUUGGGAAAUUGAACAUUUGAUUUUCCAGUGUUUUUACCUGAAUUGAAUCAUUUGACUAACAAAUUGGUUUAUUUCAGCCCAUUAAAACUAUGGGAUAUUAGAAAGUUGGAUCAUUGUGUUAUAGAUAUUAGUCCAUAUCCUGAAAAGGUUGGUUAAUAUAUAUUUUUAUACUUUGUGAGUUACCAAUUAAUUAUGUUGGAUAAAUUUGAUCAUGAUUCUGAAGUGUAGUAAAAGAUUACAUCCUUAACUUAAAAUAAUCACAACACCCUUAAAGUUAAAAUGUAAAUGUGAUAGGAAAUGUUUGGUGUAUUAUACCUUUCAUGUCAUUAGAACAAUUUUCUAUAUUGGAAAACUUAAAUGAUAUUGUGAUGGAAAUGAAAAGAGAUGGAAAGUUUACGAGAGAAGAAAGUGAGUUACUUAGUCAUAACAAACUAACUGUUAUAACAAUUAUUUAGUGAGGAUUAGAGCAUUCUUGAUUAGGUUUCUUUAUCAGAAAUCUAUCAUAUUGUCCAGAGUCUCAUGACAGUUUUCUUUGUUGUGAUCAGAGAAAUUUGAACUCGAGAAAGUUGGACCCAAUAACUAGUUUGUCUCAAGAUGAGAGCAUACUUUUUCUUUCCACCAGCUCUGGUAUAACCAAUAUCAUCUUUUGCUUUAAGAGUGUGUAUGUUUCUUUCCUUAAGAAUAUAUGUCAAAAUAUAAAAUCUACCAUUUUUUUUGUGCAGAAUUUAUCUGUACAACACCCUACAACUUGAAAAAGGGUCAUUAAAAUAUUUUUCUGGGUGUAAAAUUGAUUCAGUUUUAAUAAAUGUGAGAAUUAGACCUGUCCAAAUCUUUUGCAUUCAGUUUGUGUCCUAACUCCUAACUGUCUGAUGCAAUUUUUGUCCUAACUCUUAACUGUUUCAUGUGUGCAAUUUCAGGCCGUAAUUAGUCCUGAUGCGUCAAACAUUGUUAGUGGUUCUGGGGAUGGAUAUACCUAGGUUAGGAAGGUUUCGUUCUUACUUAUAAAUUAUAAAGAGAUAUUAAAUUUUGAUGACUAUGUUAAUCCACUGAACUUUCAAAAUUCAUGUUGACAAUCCUACUAGGUUGGGAUGGGACUCGCAUGGUGUUACAGCAGUUAACUGGUAAUUUGGAAACCUGGUGUUGUUCUAGUUCUCUUUUUUAAGAUUAGUUUUUAAAGUAAGUGAAUCCAACUGUUUUCUUACUAAUUUAACUUGAAAUUUAUUUGACUUUAAUCCAUUUAUUUGUUUAAAAAGGUCUCAAAUUGUUUUUUUCAGCAUUCCAAUUUCCCUCGAUAUGCCAUUUCAGGUUCACAUAUAGAAUAAAACAAUUACUCACAAUAGAUGAGAUGACACCAUACAAAAAUAUCAAGACAACCUACUUUGGUAGGAUAUUUAGGAGUACUAGGAAAAAGGUAGUUUAACUGUAAUAAAUGAAUUCUGCAACCUUUCUUCUCCAAAAUUAGUUUUAAAAUAAAUACGAGAGAAAUAUGGCAUGCAUUGAUGGUGGAACAUUGCUCCUAAAAGAAAACCGUACGAGCGAAGCGAGCUCCUCGAAGCUUCCUCUGAAUGAGAAGAUGCAGCGGAAAUUGUUGAAGAAGCUCUAAUCACGAGUUAUUCAAAGACGAACACAAGAAAAAUCCUAGACCUAAGUUUUAAACGGUGGAAAACCCUAAAUCAGAGAAGAAUCACUCAAUGGACCGAUUAAUCGACAUGAAAUGUGGCUCUAUGCGAAGGAAGGCCAAAUGAAGAUGUGGUGACGUAACUCUAGACGCUGACGCAAGAAGCAGGAGAUAUGGCAUCUGAUGAAUGGUGCAGCGUGGAGGAGUGAGGUCGUGGAUGAGAAAGAGAGCACAAUGGUGAGAUGGAAAAUGGAAGAAUGAGGUAGUGUGUUGGAAGGUGGCUAGAAGAAAAUCAAAUUCUCAUUAAUUUCAAAAGUAGGAAAUACAAGAGAGGAGUUGGGUAUUUAUAGUAACCCAUGCUCCUUACAAACUAAGCUACACGUACAAUAAAAUGUAAAAAAAUAUGAAAAAAAGAACUACAUUAGGCAGGAUUCGGUUUAAUCAUUUAUGAAGUCCCUAAUUUCGUGUGGAAUUUCAAUUUCGUCCCAUUCUUUUUGGAUUUCUCAAUUUUCUGAAAAUUGGGACAAUUGGAUCCUUUUCGUUCAAUGGAAUCCAAUGGCGUUAAUAUGUGUUUGACGUGGCUCAGUUUCUUACCUGUCGUGGGUAGGAACACCUUACUACAUGGAAUUAGGGCUAUUGAGUUUUAUUAUUCUGUUGGGUUAGACAGUAAUCGGGUUUAUGUUAAGUUAGGUUUUUUUUUGCUCUUCCUUUGUUUUUCCCGUUUUCCUAAGAACUCUAUAAAUAGAUGCUCACCCCCUUUCAUUUGUAAGAUGUAUACAGACGAAUAUACAAGCAUUUUACAAAAGUUAAUAAAGCACGCAUUUUUCAUACCUCCGACGAAGCCCUCACUCGAUCCUCUCUCUUUUCCUCCAAACACGACCAUGGCAGCGUCGCUAUGCAGAAAGCUGCUCUGCUUCUCUCUCUAGCUUCUGGAGAGUCUUCGAACUCUUUCUCUCUUUCGUGCUUUGUUGUGCCUAGAACUGCAUCAAUGAUUGUUAAAGUUCUCUCUUCAAAUAAUGCUUAAACUAAUAUUUCUAGGAGUGGGCAAAGUGUACUAAACUGAAAUAUAAACAAUUAUAGUUAACUAUAAAACAAUUCAACUAUACUAAACUGAACUAAAAAAUAGUUCAAAAAAACUAAACUAAACUAUUUUUUAGUUCAGUUACAUUGCAAUAGUUCAGUUAACUAUUUAAAAUAGUUUCAGCAGAACAAAAUAUAAUAAUGUUUGAACAACUAAAACCAGUGUAUCUAAUUACUUUUAUUACCCACUAUAAAACAGUUUUAUCCUAAUGUGACUAUCCCAUUAAAUCAUAAACAGAUUUGGAUUAAAUCCACUCCUUGAAACUAGAUUUGAUAAGUCAGGAAUGGAGCAGUUUCUUCACCUGUUUUCAUAAACCCUGAAAAGGAUCAGGCCUUGUGAAGUCAGGGCAAACAUCUAACAGGACAAAGGCUAAAUUGCUAAAUAAAAGUACUAUUAAGAAGACUACCUCUAAUUUUUCUACUUUUGCAACAUUCUCAGGGGACACAAAUUCCAAUUCCACACAAACACAACACUACAGAUCAAUAAUAACAAACUUGUCAUACACUAAAAAACACAAGAUAAAAAGUGAAACAAAAGUCAAUGCCUAGAUAAUGAUAUCCUCAAUCAGAUGGAUAGUAGUAAGAUCAACACGUCAAGGGAUAAAUUGAAACUAAUUAUUGUGUAGAGACUUACUAUUCCAUGAAUAAAUUAAAUGUUAUGUAUAUAUAAUAUGGAAUAUACAUGAAUUGAUAUAAUUAGAACUAUAUACAUAAAUACCAUUUCCUCUCCCAUCAUCUAAAUUCUAAAUUAUCUAUCACCUUUCAACUAACUUAAUAUUAAUUGUCACUAAUUUUAAACAACCUCGUCUAUUUUAGAACGUAAGUUACCUUCUUUUAGAGCAAGAUAAGCGUUUAUCUUUGAAUUACUACAUCUUCUUAAUCAUUAUACUUAGGUUUUCACACUUAAAAAUAAAAGUCAUCUCACUUAAAAAAAAAAAAAAAAGUGACAAUAGCACUAUCUUCUAGAUAGUAUUUAUCAUAUCCCAAAAUUUAUUGUCCUCAAGAUCCUGGCUAUACAAUGUUUUACUUUCUUAGUCAUUCUAAGACCAAUUAUAUAUCAGCUCUUGUAACUUAUACGUGGUAUAAUAAUUUUGCACAUGUCCUAGAUUCAACUCAUGUCAUGUCAUCAUAUAAUAUGUAAACAAUAAGGAAUAAACAGUGAAAUGUAUAUAUACAAAUCUAACUUACGUCAAGGAUUUUCCUUUGAAAACUAUGGAAGGAGCAAGUGCAGCUAAGGUACAAAAUCUUAGGUAAAGAUGCAUGCAGAAAGGGAAAUGAUAAUAAGUGAAUUAUGUUGGAAAUGUGAACCAAAGCUUAAGUGCAUAGCAGCAAAACAGUCAAUUUACCAGGUAAAACAAGAAAAACCAUCCAAAGUUCAAAGCACUAUCGGUCCUGCAAAAAUAAAAAUAGAACAAAUUUCAAAUCAAGAGUGUAACCAAAUUAGAACGAUCAAAAUACCCAUUCAUAUUUUGUUCAAAUUAGAACGAUCAAAAAAUGCAGUUUCUCAAAAAAGCCAAAUGCAUCAUUCAUACUGAAAAGCAAGCAAUCAUACUUGAAUCCGGCAAUCCCGCAAGCAGCAUCCAUCUCAAACAAAUUCUAAUCUGCAUCAACAUGCAAUAAAUUUGUUAAUUUCAAUGUUCACAAAAACCCUGCUCAAUAAACCAUUGCCUCUUUUGAGCCAGAAUAAACAAGAUUUUUAACAUAUCCCUUGUUGUUUGAUAAACCACCCUCAUAAUUUCUUCAGCUUCUGCCCACGCAGUCCAUUCCAGAAAGCAGCUGCAUUUACUGUCUUUUUUCCAGGAAGCUGAACUUCCAAUACCUGAGAGAGUUACAGUGUCACCGAUUCAGAAAGGCAUAUUUGACAUGCAAGAAUUUUGGGCUUCUAUACCUUACUGAAGAGCAAGUAUUUUCCUUAAUGCUUGCUCCUCGUGAUAUAAAAGAAAAACACUGGUAAACUGUAUCUCAGAAAGCAAGUAAUUACAAACUCGAAGAUUUUGUAUUUUUCAAGUACGAAUGCUCUUUCAAUAAAGUGAGGAUAUACAAUUCGCAUUCCCAAGGACACUGCUCUUUCAUCUGAUAUUAUUUGUCUCAAUUCCUUUUUUUGAAAAGGUAAGUAAGAUUUAUAUUAAAAACUGUUGAAAAACACAACUGCCAUUAAUUACAAUCAUAGAAUCCAAUCCCUAUUGGAUAAGACAAACAUGUAAUCAUAGAAAGUACAAGAGCCUCUUGAAUGGGUUACAGGAGUUUCCAUUUUUAUAGUUGACAUUAAUUUCAUAGAUAAAUACAUUUCAUGUUGAUUCCAAGAUGCAAGAAAGACAUUCAGAAUUUCAAAGAGUACUUGGGCAAAAUGAGAACGAGAGGGCUGGAAUUUCCCAUUUUUUAUGGAAACUCGUGCAUGAAAUAUAUUAAAUAGCGAUUUUCAGAAAAAGAUAAUUAUUAAGCAGCAGCUUCAGCAUAAGGGAAUAUAUACAAUAACAAAUUUCAAAAGGUAACUGGUUUCCACCCAUCAUCACCUACCUAGGUGGUGCAAACAUGAUACAAAAACGUACCUCAAUUGUGGUACCCCUUCCACAUGGAAAUAACAACGCACCGUCAACAAAUGCAACAUCAUCUGCUUCAUUGAACUGCACACUUUCAUGACUGCUAAGUCGUGUGGUUAUAAUUUUAAUAUCCAAAGUUUUCUGCUCACCAUUUUUCUCAACCACUAACACUCUUGCUCGAGUUCCUGGCCACCCUGAAAAGGCACGAACCUAAAAUUGUUUUAUGUCACAANAUUUCAUAGAUAAAUACAUUUCAUGUUGAUUCCAAGAUGCAAGAAAGACAUUCAGAAUUUCAAAGAGUACUUGGGCAAAAUGAGAACGAGAGGGCUGGAAUUUCCCAUUUUUUAUGGAAACUCGUGCAUGAAAUAUAUUAAAUAGCGAUUUUCAGAAAAAGAUAAUUAUUAAGCAGCAGCUUCAGCAUAAGGGAAUAUAUACAAUAACAAAUUUCAAAAGGUAACUGGUUUCCACCCAUCAUCACCUACCUAGGUGGUGCAAACAUGAUACAAAAACGUACCUCAAUUGUGGUACCCCUUCCNCAUGGAAAUAACAACGCACCGUCAACAAAUGCAACAUCAUCUGCUUCAUUGAACUGCACACUUUCAUGACUGCUAAGUCGUGUGGUUAUAAUUUUAAUAUCCAAUGUUUUCUGCUCACCAUUUUUCUCAACCACUAACACUCUUGCUCGAGUUCCUGGCCACCCUGAAAAGGCACGAACCUAAAAUUCUUUUAUGUCACAACUGUGCCCUUCAGAUAAGAUCAUGAAGUUUACCUUAUUGUGUAGAACAUAUGCUUCUUCAUCAAAGGAUAGCCAUGAUUCAUCUGAGUUUAUCUGCAUAGUGUAGAAAAUAAAAAUGAGCAACUCCUCAUAAGAAAGAUAUUUUACCAACUGUAUAUACUCGAGUAUUUUCUUUUCCUUAAGAAUAACGGGAUGUUUACUGCACUGAACAGAAAGACACGUAAUACAAACCAUCACCAAUUCAAUAUUCACAGGUUUUCUAAAUGAACUACAGCUCACUGCUAAAUGAAAUCAUGUGAUCAUAAAUAGCAUGAAACCCUGUUUCUGAACAACAGGACCUCUGGAAGUAUUGAAAAAUCAGAGACAGGAGAAAAAGAAAAAACAUUAAAAUUUGUAAUAGUGCAACACCCAGGAAGACUAUUUCUCAGGGAUAUGCUUCUUAUAGACUACUAGCUUCUUGGGUUAAGUGAAGGUUCACAUAUUGCAUUUUGUAAGGAAAGUGAGGAUAACUUAGCUCCUUACACCUUUGUUGUCUAUAGUUGAAGCAUAAUUUAGCCACAAAAAAAUUUAUACUCUCUUCCCACAAACUAAGUGAUACAAAAAUAAGUUCAUGACUGAUUCUGCUCAUCUCUCCUUCCAACAAGUUGUAAUUUGGUGUCCUGUAUUUUUCUGAUUUGUCUUGUGUUUUGUUUUAAAUCUCAAACAAUUCAUUUUUUUAAUCAUGAAAGCACUCCAAAACAACCUGUAAGGCAAAGUCUUUAAUUUGGAAAGAUGUAUACACUGCACGUUAGAAUCUAUACAAGUGGAAAUUUGCAGAUGUAGACCUCUUGAGUGACAGCUCUUUUACCCAACAUGUGUUAUGAACUAAUGAACCCAGAAACGGUAAGCCGCUUAUUUUUUGCAUUGUGAAACUUUUCUUUACUAUUUGCAACAUCAGAAUGAGUCCCCGCAUCUUAGCAUGAAUUCACUUACAAAUUGUUCCUUUGGAUUCACUAAAUGAGUCUUUCCACCUUUGAGAAUUAUCACGUAUGGGUUUUGUUAGGAAUAUAUGGGGGACUAAAAUGAAGGCAACAUGUAUUGUAUGGUGUAAAGAGGAAUAUACAAUGUCCAUAUCUUCAAAUGUCUUCUUUCUACCCGUUGAAUUUAUUGUCGAUAAUGUUGUGCUUGUGGCCUCUCAUUCCCACUCUUUUGAUUAUUUUUUAAAGGGAAUUCAUGUUACUGACUUCCAAAGAGAAUCAACAACCUUGUUGCAUUUUUGAACCAUUAAUUUGUUCCCAGAAAUGCAAUAGAUUUUUAAGAGUAUAUGCAAUAUCAACUUUCAACAGUCUAGAUAGUAUUUUGGACCCAAAAUUUGGAGGACCUGAUAUAUACCGAACAAAUAUUACUAGGAAUUGUUAUUUUCUAUUUCAGCUUCCUGGUAACAUAAUCAAGGCUCACAUACCUUAGGAGCCAAUGUAGCCUUAGAAUCAUCCUGAGGUUGGGCCUUUAAUCUUGCUGAUCCAUCAAGUAUAGAUGGAAGUUCCCUAAUCAAAAGUUCAGAUCCUGUUUUGUCAAAUAAAGGUAGGAACUCAGUCAGUGUAGAACACUAUCAAAAUGCCCAAAUAAGAAUAUCUUAGUACAGAGAUCACCAAGAGAAAGAGGUACACAGAACGACAAAAAUGGAAGAAUCAUACCUUUAUGAAAGAGGAGCUCAAGCAAAUCAGGUGCCUACACAGAAAUCUAAAGUUUUGUCAGAAGCAGGGAGAAAAAGUAUACCAGCCUUGUAAGUUUUACCAAACAAGUUGACAGCUAUGGUUACAGGCAAUCCAUAAUGCUAAAGACAUAAAAAAUAGAAAAUAAAAAAUCCAGGAAAUUAACGUAUAUUUUAAUCACGAACCUGAUAUACUAUUAAUACAAUUAAGGGAGAUUGUAACCCUUGAUAUAAUAUGCACCAAUUUUACAUAUCCAAACCAGAAGUAGAAACAUUUCAAAUUAGGUUACAAAUGAAGGAUAAAGAUUAUAUGUAAAACACUUAUCUUCUUUGAUAUAUAAAUCAAAGGGCUGAUGAUGCAUUUCCAUUCCAUUCAUACCAAUUGUAGCAGGGACGGACAAAGAAAAAACAUACCUUUAUUUGAUCAUCAACUUGAAUUGUUUCAGUAGCAAUGAUAGGUCCAGCAUCGAGAGCACGAACGGUGAAUGCUAAUGACACUCCAGUUUCUUUAACACCAUCCUAGUGUACAAAUCAAUAUAAACCACCAGCAAAGUAAGUUAAUGAAAUAGAAACAUUGAGAAUCUAGGCACUGACGAAAGAAAUGGGGGGAACCUGCAAUGCCCUUUGAACAGGAGCAGCGCCACGAUACAAUGGCAGCAGGCUAGGGUGAAUGUUGACUGUUCCUGAGAUAUUUGCAAAUGGAAAGGUGUCACAGAGGUCUAUUUUUUUUUUUUCUUUUUUAUAGAUUUAGCAAUGACGUGGCUGGCAUUAGAGGAGGGAGUCACAAACCCAAUGAAGGAAUAUCUAGAAACUUGGUAGGUAAUAUAUUGCCAUAGGCAGCUGUAAUGCACAGGUGAGGUUGCAAAGCUUUUAAAUUUGACAAAAAAGCAUCCUGCAGGAAUUGAAUAUGAUGAGAAAGAAACAAAUUUAGGAAAAGAAACGCAAUAAACAGAAUAGGAUAGAAAAGCUAGGUACGUCUCCAGCUUUAUCGGGAGUGAAAAUGAGAUCGGGGGAGAAGCCCCUGUCAAGAGCAUGAGUGGCCAAGGGAGAGAGGGCGAGCUUCUUGCCUCUGUCCCUUCUAGCAGGUGGCUGAGUCACGAUGGCCGCAACCUGAUGAAUUGCAUACACAGUGUAAACAUGGAAUGAACGUUGAAUUACAAGGAAAUGGCGUGUGUAUGGGAUGAGAAACCUCGAAUAAAGAAUGUGGAGAAGCAGAGGCGUUGAGAAGCUUGUCAAGGACUAUGGCGGAGACCUGAAAAGCAGAGAAUGAAGUGAAACAGAAAAAGGUGAAGAAGGUAGCAUGAGUGCUCGGAGAGACAGAGGGAGACCUGAGGUGCGCCCAAGAAGACAAGGGGCUUCUUGGUGGUGGUGGAAGCAGAAGAGAAAGGGAGGAAAGGAGAGACGCUCUGCAAACAGCACAACCGACGAAUCAUGGUGGUUGCGGUUGUGGCUGUGGCGGUUGAGGGCAUAGAACCACACCACCUGUAGCUAUGCAUUUCUACUUCCCUUCCUUCUCUCUCUCUUUCAUAUCACAAUUAUACAUAAAUUUUUUUAAUCAUUUCAACAUAUUAAAAAUUAAAAAUAGUAAAGGUAAUUUUUUUUUUAAAUGGUUUACACAAGAAAAAAAGAAAAUAUAUAAUUAAUUAGCCAAAUAUUAAUUUUGAAAAAAGAACCGAAUUGAAACCCCUCUCUCCCCUUUAUCUUAUCCAUCUCUCAUUCUCACUCCUUGGUUUGCAGAACAGGGGUAAGUAACAUAGCAUAACAGACAUGGCUGUUUCUCUGUCGGUGAACCGUCCUCUCCUUCGUCUUCACCACAAGCAUCCACCUUUACCGGUGGNCAUCNCUCCCCAACUCCAUUUCCACUGUCANCCCAAGCUCGCCGGAAUUCGAUGCUCCUCCUCGCCCUCCCAUUUUACNGACAAAACCCUCAUUUCCAUCAAACCUAACACUUCCCACAUCAACGACAACCCCCUCGCUUGUCGCUUCCACGCUUCCCAGUUUGGAGGUACGCUCUUUCUCUUUCUCUUUCUCCUUCAUUUUUAUUGACCCUUCUCCAUAACAUGCUUCUUCCAUCUCUCUUCUGAUUUCAACAUCGCAACCCUNACCUAACUAUUUACUUACUCAAUUCUCGUGUUUGCGCCUACAUCAAAUAUUAGCCCCAAUUUAUUGUAUUACAUUGUAAUGUGNCUUCUUCUCACCAUCUAUAUCCUGCAUUUAGAUAUGUUACAGUCAGAAGGGUAUCAAACGGACCUUUUUCUUCACAUUGUGUGUCCUUCUUUCAUCUUGUUUCCAGGGGUAAAAUUCAGUAAUCAGUAUUGUAUUGUGAAUACCCAAUUUCACAUUAUGAAUGUUAUUUGUCAACAUGGUUUUAUUCAGUAAUCAGUGUUGUGUCGUCAAUUCCCAAUUCCUAUGGCUGCUUAAUGAUUUGAGAGUUCUACAAGUUUUAACCUUUGCAUUAGUUAUACAAGGUGCACGUCAACCUUAUCUAUCAUCUGGUGCAUUCCAACGCCAAUCGGAUGCCUUUGCCUCUCAUUCACUUCUUGAGACUAUUUUUCAACUGUAGUAUAAACUUAGUGGCGAUUCUUUAAUUCUUGAAAGUUUACUGUCAAGUGUUUAGCUUUUUACAUUUUACGGGUCUAGUUGUAUCUCUAAUAUUCCAUCAUGUGUAUCUUAAUCUGGUGAGAGAUGUGCAGCUUAGAAGGAAUUGGGAAAAGAUGUAAUCGAUAUUUAAAUUUAAUGCUGGUGCAGGACAGGAGAGCAGCAAAUCCGUGGAAGCGUACGCUAUUGGGCGAAAUAUUCGCAUGUCUGCUAAUAAAGCUCGAAGAGUGAUCGAUCAGAUUCGUGGACGAAAAUANGAUGAAACACUUAUGAUAUUAGAACUAAUGCCUUAUCGAGCCUGUGAAGCCAUUCUGAAGAUAGUGUUUUCUGCUGGUGCAAAUGCUACCAAUAACCUGGGUUUAAGCAAGGGAAGUUUAGUUAUCAGUAAAGCAGAGGUUAAUGAAGGAAAAACAAUGAAAAGGGUAAAACCUGUGGCUCGAGGGCGUGCUCAUCCAAUUAAAAAGCGCACUUGUCAUAUAACCAUCACUGUAAAAGGCUCACCAAGUGAGUCCAUCGUGGAAGCGAGCNCUGCAUAAUCCUUUUCGGACUAAAUAUAUGUACGCCUUAUGAUGAGUUAGUUCCCUUUACCCUUUAUAUUUGAUCAAAAUUUCUGUAUUUCGACAUUAUGUACUUCAUUUAUACCGUGUGACUUAAACCUUGUUCCGAGCACCGUCUCGAGACCUUCCUUUGGCCACUCUUGAGAUUACUCUGCUUUUGUCCAGCCCUGUUUGACCUCCAUUGCUACAUGGGCGUGUUACCUAACCUUGAAAAUGAAGUUUUGGUUUGGGCGAUGUUGAGGGAUAGAGAACUGUGAAUUGGUUGCAUUGUAGAAGAACUAGUGCAUCUUACUACUAUUAUCAAUAACAAUGGACAGAAUCCAUAUAACAAUGAACAGAAUCCAUAUAUCAUACACAAAGUACUAGUGAUGGUUACUAAUUUCAGAAAUUCUUAUAUUGUGUAGGCUAAUUUAAUUUGAAUGACUGGAAAAGUACUUAAGUGACAAAGAGUGAAAGUGAAUGAAUGCUUAGGGUUAUAGUUUUCCUUAUGCUCAUAAUUGUUUUCUUAAUUUAGUUCCCAAUAAUGAACCCCUGAUCUAUUUUGUAAAUACCAAAUUUUCCUCCUUGAUAUAUACUUUUAAUUGUUUAUCAUGAAAUUUAAAUGUUUUUCUCAAAUUCGUUUUCUCGUUGAAAACCUAAUUCAAAUAAAUGAUAAAGAGCAUAAAGGAGGACUAAUUUAUCUAAUUGGAAAUUAGGCUUGACGGUUGGUCAUACAUUAAUUCUAAAUUUUAUUGCCCCAUAGUGAUACAAUGCCCUAAUGAAAAAUAAAUUUAAUUGAAAUUGUUGGAAGUUCUACGAUUAAAUAUAAAGUUAAAUUGUAAUAUAUAAAUGGAUAUAAACUNUAUUAAUUUUGUGAAUUUUUUAAUAUAAUAGUAGAAUAUAUUUAUCUUAUAAAGUUUUACUUUUUUCUUGANGUGGUUUAUUGUACUUGAAAAUUUUUCUCAUUUCUUUUAAUUUUAAUCAAACUUUUCUAGUUAAGAUAAAAACCGUUAGUUAAUAUUUUAAACAAGUUUAAAUAUUUCAAUUAAAGAUGAAGAAAGAAAUUUUGAUGGUAAAAUUCUUGAAAAGAACUGAUCCCUGAUUGCAUAACAUUCGUAUUAAGAUCUUCUGAAGAAGGUUCAAAUGAAAGACUAAUUUGUGGACAGCAAGCUAGUGUGCCACCAUCUUCAAAUCAUGGGUACAACGAAAAAGAAUGGUUCAAUUACGUGUUAUACCAGUGCUAGUAAAAUAAAUGUUGAAGCUCUGAAAACAAUGCUUCCAUCAUUCUCAUCACGGAAACUAAUAAUACUUUUUAUGUUUGAUAUUUUAUAUUUUUUAUAUUUAUUGUAGAUCAAAUGUAAUUACUUGAUACUUAAUUUUACACAUAUUAAAAUCCUUAACCUAAAUUUAUGUUUGUUGGUUAGUUUAAUAACAAAUGGAAAUUUAUGUUUGUUAUGUUUAUAACAAACAUAAACUUAUGAAAAAACAUAGGUAAAUUUUGGAGUUUUUUAUAUGUAUAUUAGGUUUGUUCUGUACACCUCAUACUCAUAUGUAAAUAAAUUUGUGUUUGACCUUUAAUCAUUAAACAUGAAAAAAAAACAUUUUUUAUGUCGUUUACAUAUUAAACAUAAAUAUUGACAUCAAAGUUUUUAUAUUUAUUGUCUAUUCGUGAUAUAUUGUUUGUGUUAGUAAUGAAGACAGAUUAAAAUUGUGGUUUUGUAUUUGGAGACCCCAACCUAACUCUUUAAAAAGAUACAAUUUCAAUUUCAAUAAUAAUAAUAAAAAACUAAAACACUUAUCUCAAUAACAAAUAUUGAAUAUCAUAAGAGAAAAAGACUUAUAAUCACUAAUUAAGACAGUUACGUCCAAAACCUUCACAAACAUAAAAAAAAAGUUGUUAAUAUAAAUAAAUAAUAAAGAAAAAAUUAUAUUAAAGAAAUGCUAAAAAGAAAGAACACAAUAUCCUAAUAUAAACAUAUUUAUGUCAAAUGCUUCAAAAACUAACAUAAAUAUCUAAUUUUAUAUUAGACUCUAAAAUCUUGAUCAUAUAAAAAAUUAUACUAUUUUUAAGAAAACGACCUUAUAGUAACCAUUUCUUAUAUUAAUGUUGUCAUCUAUCACCUAUAAAAUACAAAUAUGUUGUUGAUAUAUAUUACUGAAAAUGGUUUAGAACUCGCGGAUCAAUCCGGUCCAGGUUGAACUUGUGAUGAGCUGGAUUGACUCACCAACUUAUCUAGUUUAAUUUAAUUAUUUAUUAUUUUGUGUUUCAAUAUUAUGGAGAAUGGGGAGGUGGAGGGAGCAAGAGGUAGUGGUGGUGGAGGGAGCAACACCCCCGGGGUAGUCGGCUUGGAUGAUCGGCCUGAUGGUUGGUCGGCUUGAGAAGAGUCGUUCGACCUGAUAGUUGGUUGGCCUGGUGGUUGGUCAGCAUGAGAAGAGUAGUUCGACCUGGAUGGGUGGCUGGAUGAUGGACCUGGUAGUUGGUCGGCCUGAUAAGAGUCGUUCGAUUCACGGAGUUGAAAGGAUCAUACUACAUGACCUUAUAAUAACAUUUACACUAUGUCACUUUUUACAUUAAUGUUGUCAUCUAUCACCUAUAAAAGAAAACAAUAAAAUUUGUUAAAAUAUUUAAAAGAUCAAUGAUUAAUGUAUUGUUUAGAAUGUAAUAAAAUAAUGCUGAUGCCUUUUAAUUUAACAAAUUUCCCAUAAAAAAUAGAAUUUGUUAAAAUAUUUAAAAAAUCCACGAUUACUUUAUUGUUUAAUGUGAUAAAAUAAUGCGCAUGCCUUUUAAUUUAACAAAUUUCCCAUUACUUUAAACUUUGAAAAAAGGGUCAAUGUACUAUUGUUUUGAAAAUUUUGAACGUGUUAAAGCAUAAAAAGUUUAAUUAACUAGAUAGUUAAAUGACAGAAACUAUAAUAACAAUAUGUAAAUAUAUUUUUUUAUUAAAAUAUCAAAAUAAGCAAAAACGUUACACCGAGUUUAAAAUGGAAGCAUUGUUAUGAACAACAUCAUGAUUAGUAUUAAUUUGGCAGUUAUUAUUAACUUUAAUUGCAUUAAAAGACAACAAUGAGUGAGUUAAUCAAUCGUUAACACUGAAUGAAGAGAAAAAAAAAAAAAAAGACAAAAACCAUGGGAUCCUACAUUGUCACAACAAUGCACGAAUAAUAUUUGUUGAUUCCAAACGCUUCUACUUUACGAUUCAGCUUUCACAGAGGCUGUUCUUCUUCUUAUGCAACAUUUCAUAACACUUUAAAAAGUGUCACUAUCUAUGCUCCACUUUUUACAGCUGAUUCAUUCAUCUCAUUUUCUCCACACUAUUUAAGUCACACAUGUAUCACUUAUGUUUCUGANGAAGAGAACAAACAAUAAAGAAGAGGUGUGAAGAUUAUAUCGACAUAUUUGUCUGUCUAUUUAUCUUUUUAUUUGUCUAUUUAUUUGUAUGUGUUGUUUGCUCGAUCAAACAAUGACGAUAUGAAAGAACAUGAUGGUGGUGAUGGUGAGUGUAGUGGUGAUGAGGUGGUGAUGGGAAAUUCGGUGCUUCAUAAGGUNGGAGGCUCCAAAGGUUGGAUCAAUAAUCAUGAUGUCAACUACACUGAAUGGUCUGCCCAAAACCAUGUCUAUGUUGGAGAUUGGCUUUGUAAGUGCAUGCAUAUAUACUUCUUUAUGUUUCUUACUUUGAUUCCAUGUUCUUCAAAAAUGAUAAUAAGUUUCACCUUAGUUGUUCUAUCUUAUUUUUUUUCUCUAAACCAAAAUCAUGAUUUGUUUCUCUUUAGAUUUUCCUCNCAAUAGAAUUUUGAGAUCGAUCAAUUUUCUUAUAUAAAGUCAUAAUAUUUAGAAACAUGUAUAUUUUUAAAAUGAUUACGUGAGUCAGGGAAGAUUAUUAAUCAAAAUCACAUAUAUGAAAAAAAAUCAUUAGAUUAUUCUAAAACAUUAUGCUAUUUUUUUUUCUUAUUUCACAAGUUAAAUAUGAUAUAAUUUUGUUGGAUCUUCUAAUAUUUAUAAAAGUUAUGUGGUAUUUCGUGAUGAAAAAUACCUUAUUAUUUGGCGAGUUGGAGUAUUGGACAAGAAUUCCACUUAUACUUGCAAAAGAGGGAUUAAAAAGAAAGCAUAGCACUUUUUUUAUCCUUUAGUUAAAUUUAGAAACCUUGCCAUAAUUAAGUGGCAAUUAAACGUGUUAAUUGAUUCUUGAGGUAAAAAUACAAUAAAAUAUUUGGAUAUUUGGAACAGAUUAACCGUAAGUAAUACUAUUGAAAGUAAAUAUAGGUAUUGGUAAAAAGAAGUUAAAGGCAUAGUCAAGAGGAGCAUAAGAUCACAUUANAAAAGAAAAAGAAAAAGAAUCUUCCUUUCAAAAUGUUGAGAAUGGAGCUUUAACAUAAGUUUGUAUAUAUAUGUAGUAUUGUUGUUUGAUUUGGCAAAUAGCAAAAAUAAUACAAGAUCAUACCAUUAUAUGACAUGUGAAUGGACUGAAAUACAGCAUGUUAAUUGGUUUUUUAAUUUAAUUUCUUUCAGCAUAGGUAAAGUGAAUACAUUUAAAUAUAUGUUUUUUGGGUAUAAUUUGUUUUUGUAUCUCAUAAAUUUAAAAUUUGUUUUUUCAUCUAUAUAAUUAAAAAAUGUUCCUUUUAGUUCGAGUUCCAAAUAUAUAACUAUAAUUAAUUUAACCUAAUAACUAUAAAUUAAUUUAACUUUUCAUUUUGCAUUCUCAUCAAACUUUUUUCGGAAUGGAUUGAAUGAUUUUUUUUAUUACAGUUUUAGUUAAUUUUUAUGUAUUCGAAUAAAGAAAAAAUAUAUAAAAAAAAUUGUUAAAAAUUAAACAAAAUUAACUAAAAAAAUAUAAGUGAAUUCAUUCUCAAACUUUUCACACUUAUUUUUCCUUUUGAGUUUUUGAGUACCAAAUUUAACUCAAAAGUAUCCUUUAUUAAAUUUUGGUAACUGUAGAAGACAUUUAGGCAUGGGAGAUAUUAUUAUUAUUUUUUAAAUCACAUCUAAUAAAAAGAUAAUUUUUAAUAUGAAAAUUAAAGACAGAUUUAACUCAAAUUAAGGUUGUGAUUUUUUUAAUUUUCAUUCUAUUUAUCUUUAGAGUAUGCAUCUAGCUAGCUCCCUUAAAAUUUGGAUUAGCUAAUGGUUUGUUUUUUUGUCUAUUGUACUUGAUAUUCUGUAAUGUAUUAUUCUCUUUUAAAUAUCAAAACUAGAAAUUCGGAUUAUUUUGUUAUUUUUUUUAGUGUUUCUCUGCUAUACUUUUAGAAAAAUAUCAAAAUUAGAAAUUUGGAUUAUUUUUAUAAUUUUUUUAGUGUUAUUUCUCUGCUAUACUAUUUAAAAAUAUAAAAACUUUAACACAUUAAAAUCAGUGUAGUUUCGAAUCUUACAACACAUAAAAUUUAGCAUCGACUUGUCAUCCUAAACUUGUUGAACAUCGUGUUAGUAUUCGUAAGAGUAAGUAAAAUUAUAAAAUGGAACAUCAUCACUAUGAUAAUUAUGAACUAAUUAAAUAUAGCUUAAAAGAUAAAGUAUACCAAACUUAUGCUUUUUUUAAAGACAGGAGAUUCAGAUAAAUAUUAUUAUAUUUACAUAUAGUUAGUAUUAAAUAAAUUUUUAAGUUUAAUUUAAUUUUAUAAAAAUAAUUAAUAAAAUGAUAUUUGUAUUUCAUUUAUAUAUUUUGAAUUAAUUUUAUUUAUAAUUUGUGUGACAUUUUCAACGAGUAAUUUUCUUUUAUUUAUCCACCAAUGCAUGAUAUACUUGAUUUUGUUCUUACAUAUAUCUGCUGAUGGUAAUGAAUUUGAUAUGAAGUGUUCACGUUUGACAAAAGAUACUUCAAUGUUAUGGAGGUGAACAAGACAAGAUAAGAGAAUUGUAUAGACAGAGACUUCAUAAGCAACGUGACAUGAGGUGGUCGUGUGGGUAAAGGGCAAAUGGGUCAAGUGGCAGAAAAUGCUGAUAACAAAGAAACCGUUAGAAAGGGAAAACGCUUCUUUAACACCAAACUUUUGACACUCUUUUGACAUUGUCAUGUGUCGUCUCUCAAUUGGCCAAUUUUGAAAAGAAAGAAAUGAGGUUUUAAUAAUCAGGCAGGGACAUAUUUGGAAAGUGGAAAAAAAUGAAAUUUCAUUUCACGCUUUCUUUCAUUCACACCCUUUCGUUCAUUCGCUCUUCACUCUCAUAUCACUCUUUCUCGUUCUCUCAUCGCAUUCUCUCUCUCGUUCUCUGAGUUCUUUGUCUCUUUCAUUUGCCUGAGCAUUGUUGUGGGUCUCUUUCAUCCUUUUUUUGUUCGUCUCUUUGGCAUUCACCAUUGUUGCUCGUUGAAGGUUGAUGAUUUUAUAAGGUUGGGGCUUUUCGAAGGUUGAGACUUUUCAAAGGUUGGAACUUUUCGAAGGUUCGGGCUUUUCGUCUUCCCACACUGUCUUUCUCGUACUCCAUGACCGAAUAAAGGUUUUGAAGGUUGUGGCUUUUGACAUUGACCAAGUAAAGAAAUGUGUAUGGGACUAGAUCCUCAACAACAUUAGAAGAAUGGAAGCACGACAGAACUUUGGAUUGUUAUAGGAUUUGUUUUAUUUGUAGAGUUUUUCUUUGUAUGUAGACAAAGAUGGAUUUUUGUCUUUGUAAGAAACAAUGUUAUUUAUGUUAAGAUUGUUAUUGCAAUAUAAUGUUAGCUUUCAUGGAUUGUCCAAACAUGACUUGCUAGUCUCUGCUCACACUUAAACACUAAAAAUAAGUUUCAACCAUGGUAUAAAUGUCAAAAAAUUUGAAAGGUCUUUGAGCCUAUACCAAACUAACUUGCCCAAAUGAAAAAAUUUAGACUAACUUGUUCCAGACCUUGAAGGACUUCAACUAACUUGUUCAAAUGAAAAAAAAAUUGUUUCUUAUCUCGAACAUGGGGUGUCCAAACUUGAUUUCCCACACUAAAAUCACACUUAAACAACAAAAUCACACAAACCGUUGCGUUUAUGCAAAAAAUACAAAUAUUUAGACUAUGGUCCCCUAGGUUACCAGAACUGGCUCUUGCAGUACAACUUUCUGUACAAAUAUGGGAUUUUGUUCGUGUAAUCGUUUACCAAGGUCUUGUAAAUUAUUACAACUUUAUUUUUUGCUCCAGACCUUGCAAAACUUCAACUAACUUGUUCAAAUGAAAAAAAAAAUGGUUUCUUAUCUCGAACAUGGAGUGCCCAAACUUGAUUUCCCACACUAAAAUCACACUUAAACAACAAAAUCACACAAAAACCAUUGUGAUUAUGCAAAAAAUACAAAAAAUUAGACUAUGGUCCCCUAGGUUACCAGAACUGGAGUACAACUUUCUGUACAAAUCCAGGAUUUUGUUCGUGUAAUCGUUUACCAAGGUCUUGUAAACGAUUACAACUUUGUAUUUUGCUUUAGACCUUGCAAAACUUAAACUAACUUGUUUAAAUGAAAAAAUUGUUUCUUAUCUCGAACAUGGGGUGCUUAAACUCGAUUUCCCACACUAAAAUCACACUUAAACAACAAAAUUACACAAAAACCAUUGCAUUUAUGCAAAAAAUACAAAAAUUUAGACUAUGGUCCCCUAGGUUACCAGAACUAGCUCCUGUAAUACAACUUUUUGUACAAAUCCAGGGUUUCGUUCGUGUAAUCGUUUACCAAGGUCUUGUAAACGAUUACAACUAUGGUAUGGAGCAAGAAAAAUAUCAAAAAAUGUUUUAAAGGUUUAAGCACGUGUUUGAUCGCUCGCAUCGUCCUUGUGCUAAAAUUUUUUCUUCUUUUAUAAAAAAAAAUAUCAAAAAAUGUUUUCAAGGUUUAAGCACAUGUGUGAUCAUUCGCAUUGUCCUUGUGCUAAAACCUUUUCUUCUCUUUUCUAAAAAAUAAUAAAUAAAAAUGUUUUAAAUGUUUAAGCACUUCGCAUCGUCCUUGUGCUAAAACCUUUUCUUCAUUUUUUCUAAAAAAUGAUAAAAUAAAAAUGUUUUAAAGGUUUAAGCACAUGUGUGAUGCUCGCAUUGUCCUUGUACUAAAAACUUUUUCUCUUUCUUUUAUAAAAAAUACCAAAAAUAUCUUUUAAAGGUUAAACACAUGUGUGUUCUCUCACAUCGUCUUUGUGCUAAAAACCUUUUCUCUUUCAUUUAUAAAAAUACCAAAAAUAUGUUAUCACUUGCAUCGUCCUUGUGCUAUAUACUCACUCGACCUAGUAUUCAUUACCUUCUUCUUUUUCAAAAAAUAUCAAAAAUAUAAAAUCUUCAAAAAUUAAAUGUCAACACCCAAUUUCGUUCGGAUGACUAAAUAAUAUAUGUUUUUUUUUUUACUUUAUUUUAUUUUAUCUUAUUUUAUGUCUUUUUGUAUUUUAAUCUUGGUUUUAUUUCGUUUUAUGUUAUUUAAUUUUAUUUUUAUAUUAGUUUUUAUUUUAAUUCUAUUUUUAUUUUAUUUUACUUUUUAUUAUUUAGAGUUAUUUCAUUAUCCUUUCAUUAUAUGUUAGUUUAUUUUGUUUAGUUUUAUCUUCUUUUUAUGUUAAACGUUAACAAAAAAAAAAAAUCUAAAAAAGGGAAAAAAGAAAAAAAAAAACAGAAAAAGGAAUAGCAGAUUCUCAGACUAUGCAAGCGCGUAUUGAGCUACAACAUGUCACACCAGGCUAUCCCUCCUGCAACAGUGUAACAUUAUCAGUGCUUGCAUUCCAGCAAGCAAUGCUUAAAGUAUCCCUUACAAUACCAGUACGAAAAAGGCCUUCGUUGCUCUUGCUCAAAAUUCCUAUGCAAAGCUGUCACACGUCAAAUGGGGAAAGUAUAUCUGAUUCGUUUUUUGUCAAUUGAUCUCAUUGAAACAUAAAAAUUGAAAAAGACAAGGAUGAAAUCCCAAGAAAGAGGAUAUGCUCUGAUCUUCCUGGAGGCAGUGCGGCGACAGGGAGGAGCGUCUGGUGGGUAUCAAGUUGCUUCAAUAUCUUUUGGAAAAAAAGGGAAGAAGGAGAAGGUUCCUGGGGCUAACGGAGGCAACACCAUCCUCCCUCACACACACACGACUCUCAAUCCAUCAUUCACUCUCUGCUCUACUCACUCAACGGAGACUCCUUCCCUUUGGCUCGAGACUUUCUUUGCUUCUCUCACCCGUGACCACUCCAACCAUUUUUCCCUUUCACUCCCAAUUCUUCACCUCCAAUGAAUCCAUGAUUCACCAUCACAACAAGAGCACAAGAUCACAACCACUAGCGGGGAGGGCUUCCUGUGAGGUUCAGCGAAAAAGCACACGAUAUUACAAUAGAGCAGAAGACCUCACUUUGGUUGCCAUCCUUGAACCUCCCAUUGUUCAAUCCAAGAGAGCAAAGGGGGCAAGAACCAAAAGAAAAAGUAUUGAAGCUGCGAAGGUAAGUCUUCCUAUACCUAAGCUCUUUGGUCAUGCUCGUCUGUAUGCUCAUGUAUAUGCUUUCCUUGGAGAUGAAUGAGUGAUGUUUAAUCAAUAUAUAUAUAGUUGUGUUGUUUUCUUGGUGACAUCCUCUGUUAAUCAGAACUUCAUCCAAAAUAUGUAGCUUCUUCAUCUAAUAUGGUUAAUACUAGAACAUGGUUACACUUCCCUAACAUCACACUUCGUACCCAUUUACUCACACCCAGAAAACAUUUUGAAAAAGUCAUAAAGAGAGAGUUCUAAAGUUCAUGCUCAAGCAGAAACAGAAGCAUUUUCAUAUUAGUUCUCAUAUCAAAAUAGGAAACAGAGGUAGUUCUUUCUCUCUAGCCGACCAUACCUUCUAGAUCAUCUUUCACCUAUAUCAAACAAACAGACCAAAUCACAAGUCUCAUGCCAUUUUAUUCGAAGUUUGUCCUCUCGAGUAAACCACCACCAUUCAUCUUUUUGGAGUGAUCAUCAAUCAUUUUCCUCAAUCUCCAGUUUCGCUUUGAAUCAUUGAUAGCCGACGGGCUGCAUUUCAUGGCUGCUACCACACCAGCUGCACUCCAUUGUUUUAUCUAAACCUGCAAAGGGAAACAGUACAGAAACCCCCACACCCUAGAUCACCCUAGAUCGCAAACCCCCAAAUAGUGAUCCACGGGAACUCCUCUCGGUUUCAAUGCGCCACCACCACCAUACAUGGUCCUAGGCAAAAGAAGAAAACAGAGAACAGAACAUGUUGCAAACCAAAAUCUGGCUAGCUUGGACUUUGAACGAAAUUGGCGCAAUUGCAAUAGCUGACUAUCGUCUCCGAUUCGCGCAUCGAAGAAGAAGAAGGACGACUAGCGCAAGAGUUUUGAUGAAGGACGGUGUCGCCGGCGAUGAUGCGACGACGAGCCUCGACGGCGGUGUAGGGUGGCGGCGCGGUGGCUGGCUUUGGUUGGAGAGGUGAGUGCGGCGCACGAAAAGGGGAGAGCUGCCUCGGGCUAGCGUUUCCUUCGUUGACGACGUCACCGGUGUGGUUUUGGCCAGCCAUGGGGACGUGCGACCGGGGUGGAGGCUAGGCGGCUCGCGAACUGACGGCGAAGAGGGACACCUCUAAGUUUGCCGGCAGAGUGAGGGAGAGACUUUAGGUCUCUUGCCUGAGUGAGAAGUGUCGAAAUGAGAAAGGAAUAUGGAACCCCUAUGGGUUUCUGAACUUGGGGUGAGACUCCUGGGCCGCUGGGCGAAACCCAACAACAAAAAAUAAUAAACUUUUUUUUACCAACACUGUUUCCACUAAGUCGUACCACAUCUCCUUCCGGCUUAAGCCCAUUCGACCUAGAAAACUUUUUCUCUGUGCACCACGUUUUAUUAUAAUUUCACACCAUCCUUUUUCUUCCGGCUCAAGCCUUGUCAAAAAUCAAAAAGAAACAACUUUUCUGCACCCCUUUGUUCAUAUUUCGCACUCCCAUUCCCUUUGGGCUUCAGCCCAUCUUUUCUACACAAAAUCUCUUCUUCCUUCCACACCCUAUCCUCGCUUCACACCCCUUUUUCUUAUUUAAGCACUACCACCCCUUUUACUUAUUAUUUUUUUUUUCUUAUUAUUAUUUUUAUUUUAUCAUUUAACUUUUAGUUUGUUUAUUUUUACUUUUUAUUUUAUUUACUUAUUUACCCAUUUAUUUUAUUUCUAUUUUUCUAUUCUCUAUUUUAUUUAGUUAUUUACCUAUUUAUUUUAUUUUAUCUAUUUUUAAAUAAAUAUUAAAAUUAGCAAAAAUUAUUUCAAAGGGUUUGAACGCACGUGCGACCAUUCUGUCGGCCUUGUGCUGAAAACCUUUUUCUUCUUCUUUCAAAAAAUCAACCAAAAUUUAUUUUAAAAGGUUUAAGCACACGUGCGACCAUUUCGUCGGUCUUGUGCUGAAAACCUUUUUCUUCUUCUUUCAAAAAUUAAUAAAAAUUAUUUUAAAAGGUUUAAGCACACAUGCGACUGUUCGCGUAAGCUUUGUGCUAAAACCUUUCCCUUUUUUUAUAAAAACAUCAAAACAAAAAAACAUCCUUGUCUAACCAACGAACAAUCUUUCAGCUAGAACUACAUAACCCUAAUUUCUCAGUCUAAUUGAGAAUACGUAGGAGCAAGGUCAACCCUUGUCGGGCACAAAAAAAUAAAAAUAAAAUAUUUUGUUUUCUUUAAAGUUUUAUCUUUUUAGGGGAAAUUAAACAUUUUGCAAUCUGUUAAUACCCAAUUUCGUCCGGAUUAUCUUUCUAAUAUUUUUGUCAUCACAUAUUUAACCCUUUUAUUAUUCAUUCACCUAUUUUCUUUUUUGUUUAUUUUUAUCACCUUCUUACUUAUUUUUGUUUUAUGGUAGUUAUUUUAUUUUACUCUUUCUUUUCAAUGCUUAUUUUCCUUUAGUUUUUAUUUUUUAUUUUAUCCUAUUCUCUUUUUAUUUCAUUUUUGUUUUUCCCUUUACAAUUUUUAAUUUUCGUUUUUUUUUAGUUUUAUCUUUCUUAUAUUUUAUCUUGUUUAAAAAAAAAAAUAAUAAUAAUAAAUAAAAAAAAUAAAAAAUAAAUAAAAAGAAAAGAAAAAAAGCCAUGUGUGCAAAACGACAAGGAGAACGGUUUUUUUGUUCAGAGGAGACCAAGUGGUUUGUGGGGGAACAUGGCAGAGAGGUUUUGGGAAUUUGGCAGAGCAGAGAGCAAGAGAGCAAAUCGUUACUGAAAAAGUGGCAGGCGGAGGUGGCCAAAAGAGAGCAACAAAACAUCAGAGAGGGAUCAUUGUUACGAACACAAGCAAAGAAAACCGAGUUACCGAGGACAGUGUUAUCGUGAGCAUUCAUUCUACAAAGGAGAAUAGGAGCUCCGAGAGCAAUUGGUGGAACUGCACUAGGAAGGAUAAGGAGACCCAUCGGAGCUGCAAGGUUGACGGUAACAGCUGAGUCUUCAAGAGGUGAGUGAUCCAUCCUUACACAUGAGUCUCUUUGUUAUUUACUGUUGCAUUGCUACUCUGAAUGUCAUCAAGCAUCUUUCCCAUUGUAUAUGACUAAGACUUGAAUCCUUCCCCNUCAUCGUUCCUUAUCAUACUCUGCCGUGUUCACUCUUCACUCACGGAGCCAAUAACCGAGCCAAAUAACAACACCCUAUUGCAUCACACUUCUCUUGGCCAUAGCGUAACCACCGCUCCUCCCCCUCCAUUCCCAACGUCCACGACCAAGCUCAAACACACAACACCAAAAAAACACACGCAGGGUUGAUCCUUCCCCUCACACCAUCAUCCCUCAACCUGCAUUAUACAAAAACNACGGAAAGCCAAGCCAAUCACAAAACCAGUAUCACCAGUAUCACUAGUAUCACUUUCCAUUGGUACCAUCAUCCUCACAGAUUCCAGAAACCACAUACAAUAAAAAGAGAGAAUGUAAGGGAGAGGAAAACAGAGUAACAGCUGGUCUCACAAGUUCAAACUCACACNCGCACAAUACAAUGUCGGGAACCCAACACACUUCGGCAAGCAUAGUAGGAAUUUCCAAAUCAUCGCGAACACCCCUAUCCCCACCGGAAACCAAGUCAAAGGUUGAGAAAGGUGAGGCCUCUUCUCUGGUGUGCGUGAGGUUGAGGUGUUGAGAUCCGAGAGAGAAGUUGGGNACGGCGCCGGGGCUGACUUCGAUUCCUGCGGUUUUGGUCGUCGCCGGUGAGGCCAGGUAGAGGUUGCUAUGCCGGUGGCCGGUCGGGAUGAAUCGCGAAGGGGAGCGAUUGUUCCUCUUUCUGCUGGCNCGAAGAAGACGCGUGAGGGCGGUGAUCGUGGCAGCCCUGACGCUAGGAGGAUGGAUGUUGCGGUACGGUGGCUGUCGAGGCGGAGGCGCGGUGACCGUUUCCGGCAGUUGCCGGCGUCGCUAAAAGGGGGAAAACCCCACCCCUGGGACGAGUCGCGAAGAGGAAGGGAGAGGGAGGCCGGCGAUAAGGUCGCUGACCGGACAUUGGCGAGUGCGUCAGCGUCGCCGUGGCUGAUCGACGGGAACAGCGGUGCGGUGGCUGUCGGAGAGGCAUCGGCCGGUGGUGAUGGGAGGUUGCGUGAAUGGUAGAGUGGGAGGCCUCUAGGGUUUUUUGGGAGGGAGAUGUUUAGCCUCUUAGGUUAGGUUCUGGGCGUUUGAAAUGAGAGGCAAUUUGGGAGACCCCUUAGGGUUUCUGAAGUUGGGGAGGGCUUUGNGCCCUUGGGCCAAGCCCGAAGGCCAGCAGUUCACUUCUGCACCCCCCAUGGCUACUAAUUGGCGCCAUUGNAUAAUGGGUUUGAGCUCAUUCAUUCUCUGUACCCCCUUUGCUUCCAUCCGCAACCCCCAUCCCUUUGGGUUCGAGCCCAUUCUGCCAACAAAAAAAAAACGUUUCUGCACCCCCUGUUUCCACUUAGUCGCGCCUCUUUNCACAUGGGCUUAGACCCAGUGUGCUAUUAAACUAAAAUUAGAUCUGCACCCCUGUUUUAUUCAUUUCCACCCUUUUUCUACUUGGGCUUAGGCCCAAUCUGUUAUUAGAGCUAAAUUGGUUUAAGCACUCCUUUUUUUUUUUAUUUAAGUACCUCCCCAUCCUUUCUUAUUAGUUUAUUUCUAUCUAUUUUAUCUAUUAAUUUUUUAUUUUGUUUUCUUUAUUUAUUUUUAUUUGUCUUUUUCUUUCUUUUUUUUCUUUUGCCUCCAUUAAAAUAUAUUCAUUUACCCUUUUUUUUUUAAAUAUACUUUUAUAAAAAUUAAAAAAAAAUUAAAAAAUAUAUUUAAAGGGGUCUAGCACAUGUGUGAUCGUACGCAUCGUCCUUGCGCUAGAAAACCCUUUUCUUUUCUAAAUAAAAAAAUUAAAAAUACCAAAAAUAUAUUUUAAGGAUUCUAGCGCAUGUGUGAUCGCACGCAUCGUCCUUGUGCUAGAAAACCCUUUUCUUUUCUAUAAAUAAAAAUACCAAAAAUAUGUUUUAAGGGGUCUAGCACAUGUGUGAUCGUACGCAUCGUUCUUGUGCUAGAAAACCUUUUCUUUUCUAUAAAUAAAAAAUAUAUCUUAAGGAUUCUAGCGCAUGUGUGAUCGCACGCAUCGUCCUUGUGCUAGUAGACCUUUUCUUUUCUAUAAAUAAAAAUUAAAAAAUAUAUUUUAAGGACNCUAGCGCAUGUGUGAUCGCACGCAUCGUCCUUGUGCUAGAAGACCUUUUCUUUUUCUUACACAAAAAUUACAAAAAUACCAAAACAUCCCUUUUCAAACAAACAAUCAACCCUUCACCAGAACUACGUAACCCUGAUUUCUCAGUCUAACUGAGAAUACGUAGGAGCAAGGUCAAUCCUUGUCGGGCACAAAAAACACAAAAAAAAUAUUUUGUUUUCUUUAGUUUUAUUUUUUAGGGGAAAUUAAACAUUUUGCAAAUCAUAUUGAAUUCGCGUAUUUAAUUAAAGGUACUGCCUUAGGGCAGGCGUUGUGGGGGUGCUAACACCUUCCCCACACGUAACCGACUCCCGAACCAGAAUCUGGUUUCUUUUUUUUUCGUAGACCGCCUUAUCCUUUUUUAUGGUUUUUUCCAUAGUUUUCCAGAAUAAACUAUGGUGGCGACUCCAAAUCUCUUUUUUCCAAAAGACAUUAAUUUAUUUUUGGAUCGUCGUCCCGUCGCGAUUUUCCGGUUGCGACACAAUCCACAUAUUUAUUCAUGUAUUUAAUUAAAGGUACUGCCUUCGGGCAGGCGUUGUAGGGUGCUAAUACCUUCCGUACACGUAAUCGACUCCCGAACCCAAUCUUUGGUUUUCAUGGAUUGUGCCUUUUCUUUAUGGUUUUUUCCAUAGUUUUCCAUUUUCCAUAGUUUUCCAGAAUAAACUAUGGUGGCGACUCCAAACUCUUUUUCGAAACUCAUUUUCUUUUUGGAUCAUCGUCUCGCCGCGACAUCCGGUUGCGACACUAAACAUUCACAAACAAACAACUUUUCUACCAUAACUACGUGAUCCUUGAUUCUCCAUCCAAAGUGGACACACAUAGGAGCAAGGUCAGUCCUUGUCAAGCUCGCUUCCCAAAAAUCCAAAUCUUUUCCAAAUAAAUUUUCUUACUAAUUUCGCAAAGAUAUUUCUUUAUAGUGUUUUUUUAGGAUAAUUAAACAUUUCUUAAAACCACAUCAAAUUCGCGUAUUUAAUUAAAGGUACUGUUUUAGGGCAGGCGUCGUAGGGCGCUAACACCUUCCCUACACGUAACCGACUCCCGAAACUAGAAUCUGGUUUUCACAGACCAUGCCUUAUCAUUUUAUGGUUUUUCCGUAGUUUUCCAGAAUAAACUAUGGUGGCGACUCCAAAAUCUCUUUUCAAAAUCGUUUUCUUUUUUGAUCAUCGUCCCGUCGCGACACCGGUUGUGACAACUAUCUCUCAGGUGGAGGCUACUUUUUCCAUGGCAUGAAAGUUGCUAUGCAUGUUCAACAACUUCAUGCAAUGGCACCGACUUCAUCCAUGCCUGUCUCUGCUUCUCCUUUGCCCUCGCUCACGUCUUCCUACAUUUGGAUCAUUCUCAUUAAUGUCGUUUAUUAUGUCAACUUCGUUUUCAUGGAUGAUCUGUGUUUGCUGAGCUUUUCUUAGUAUCAUUUGCUAUGCUUUAAAAAAAAUGUCGUAGCUUGAUGUCAAUAAACACAUUCCAUAACAACCUCGUAGCUUGAGAGGAUUUUAGGAAACAAGGAAACUCGGUUCUUUUGUAUUAAAGAGGUUUAUUGCAACAACAUUGAGAGCGUUAUGUAACAUACAUGCAAAGAUUGAGGUCCAACAUGAAAGGAAGAAGAAGAAGAAGAGUUAUCGAGCGGCAAAGCUUGCUUUGCCAAACACAAUGCAUAAGGUCGAAGAAGAGAGUAAGUGAGAAGUAGAGCUGUCAAAGCGGGUCCCGGCCCAGCCCACCACGGGUUGGUCACUUAGUAACCCAACCCAACCCGACUCAUUUAUUAGCGAGCCAGAAAAAUUCGAACCCGGUUCGACCAGCCACGGGUUGGUGGAUAAAUGGGUUGGCUCACUGACCCACUUAAUUACAAUUUUUUUAAAUGAUAAAAAAUUACAAACUUUCUAUAAUUCAAAUCUAAACAAAUUUCAUUCCCAAAUCUCACUCCCAACAUGGAUGUUUAAUUAAUUUUGAACAUAGGGAACUUAAAUAAUUUUUUAAAGCAAAAAAUAAUAAUAAAUAUUUUUUUAUAAAAUUAAAAUUAAAUUAUAAUAAAAUAAAAUUAGGUAGGUGGGUUGGUAGGUCAACCCGGCCCACUACGGGUUCAACCUGCAUGAGUCAGGUUUCAAUGAACCGGGUUAAAAUUGCACACAUGAGACAGUUAGGACACAAACUGAAUGUAGAAGAUUUGGACAAGUCCAAUUCUCACCUUUAUUAAAAUUGAAUCAAUUUUACACCCAGAAAAAUAUUUUAAUGACCCUUUUUCAAGUUGUAGGGUG